AGCAGCCGCGGUAAUUCCAGCUCCAAUAGCGUAUAUUAAAGUUGUUGCAGUUAAAAAGCUCGUAGUUGAAUUUCGGGAUUAGUACGUUGGUCGUGCCUUAGGUACGUACUGGUGUUACUGGUUCCUACCUUCUGACGAACCAUCAUGUCAUUAAUUUGGUGUGGCGGGGAAUCAGGACUGUUACUUUGAAAAAAUUAGAGUGUUUAAAGCAGGCUCGCGCUUGAAUACAUUAGCAUGGAAUAAUGAAAUAGGACGUUGACCCUAUUUUGUUGGUUUCUAGGCUUGACGUAAUGAUUAAUAGGGAUAGUUGGGGGCAUUAGUAUUCAAUUGUCAGAGGUGAAAUUCUUGGAUUUAUUGAAGACUAACUACUGCGAAAGCAUUUGCCAAGGAUGUUUUCAUUAAUCAAGAACGAAAGUUAGGGGAUCGAAGACGAUCAGAUACCGUCGUAGUCUUAACCAUAAACUAUGCCGACUAGGGAUCGGAUGAUGUUAAUUUUUUAAUGACUCA
This 507-nucleotide ribosomal RNA is filed under the name Glomus sp. MO-G5. RNAcentral's name for it is "SSU rRNA". It matches the Rfam family "Eukaryotic small subunit ribosomal RNA", at positions 569 to 1078 of the family's 1831-position model. Lineage: Eukaryota; Fungi; Glomeromycota; Glomeromycetes; Glomerales; Glomeraceae. The record is from RNAcentral.